This 752-nucleotide long non-coding RNA is filed under the name Olea europaea (common olive). RNAcentral's name for it is "long non-coding RNA (OEUR_LNC000217)". Lineage: Eukaryota; Viridiplantae; Streptophyta; Magnoliopsida; Lamiales; Oleaceae. The record is from RNAcentral.
AUCGACAGUAGCAAGGCAACAAUUGUGCAUCGCUGAGUCUCCCCCCUCAUCCAAUCAUCUCUACUACAGACGAUGAAGCUAUGUGCAGCGAGGAGGUGCUGCGCGCAGUGAUGCCUCGCUGCUUCUUGAGAGCGGCAAGGCGACAGUUGUGCAUCACUGAGUCUCUCCCCUCAUAUAGUUAUCUCUACUGCAGACGAUGAAGCUAUGUGCAGCGAGGAGGUGUUGCACGCAGUGAUGCCUCGCUGCUCCUUGAUAGCAAUGGCGCAACUACGAGUAGCGUCGCCUGGUCGAGGCGCGGCGAGGCAGAGCUUUGCUGUUGCCCGAAUCUAUAGUGAGACCUCUGCGGCUGGUAGUGCUGUGUUGGUGGCUAGCAGUAUCGGAUCUAGUGGUGGUGGUGGUUGAUGGUGCAUCAAGCAAUGAGGUGCGGUGGUGGGUGUCGAAUUUAGGGUGGUGACUGGCGGUGUCGAAUCUGGGGUGAUGGUGAUGGUGUGUUCGUUGUGUGGUGAUGGUGGUGGAUCUGGUGAUGUGAUGCGAUGGUGGCACAGGUGGUUGAUGGCGGUGCGGUGCGAUGGUUGAGGUGGUUUUAGUUGUUAAGAGUGUGGUGAUGGCAGCUUCCAUGCUUCGAGGAUGAGGGUAGGGGUAGCGAUAGACGGUGGUCGUUACAAUGGGUGUGGUGGUGAUGGUAAGAUGUUGGUGGUUGUGUUUUUGUCGAGGUGGAUGUAUUGAUUUUUGUUGGAGGUAGUGGUUGUUUA